UACAGGGGGGGCAAGCGUUGUUCGGAAUUACUGGGCGUAAAGGGCUCGUAGGCGGCCAACUAAGUCCGACGUGAAAUCCCCAAGCUUAACUUGGGAACUGCGUCGGAUACUGGAUGGCUUGAAUUCGGGAGAGGGAUGCAGAAUUCCAGGUGUAGCGGUGAAAUGCGUAGAUAUCUGGAGGAAUACCGGUGGCGAAGGCGGCAUCCUGGACCGACAUUGACGCUGAGGAGCGAAAGCUAGGGGAGCAAAC
Molecule: ribosomal RNA, 250 nt
Filed under: uncultured bacterium
Lineage: Bacteria
Description: partial 16S ribosomal RNA
Rfam family: Bacterial small subunit ribosomal RNA
Source: RNAcentral